RNAcentral lists this ribosomal RNA (405 nucleotides) under uncultured bacterium. Its description in RNAcentral is "partial 16S ribosomal RNA". It matches the Rfam family "Bacterial small subunit ribosomal RNA", at positions 28 to 526 of the family's 1533-position model. The record is from RNAcentral.
GAUGAACGCUGGCGGCGUGCCUAAUACAUGCAAGUCGAGCGAUGCGGGAACGGGUGAGUACGGCGUGGAUAACCUCCUAUACGACUCGGUUAACUUCGGAAAACCGGAGGUAAACCGGCUACUCAUCGGUGGCUCAGCGGUGCAUUAGCUGGUUGGUAAGGUAACGGCUUACUAAGGCCACGAUGCAUAGCCGACCUGAGAGGGUGAUCGGCCACACUGGAACGGAGACACGGUCCAGACUCCUACGGGAGGCAGCAGUAGGGAAUCUUCCGCAAUGGGCGAAAGCCUGACGGAGCAACGCCGCGUGAGUGAAGAAGGUCUUCGGAUCGUAAAACUCUGUUAUUAGGGAAGCGGUACCUAAUCAGAAAGCCACGGCUAACUACGUGCCAGCAGCCGCGGUAAUAC